Non-coding RNA from Oryza sativa Japonica Group (Japanese rice), 1554 nucleotides. The record is from RefSeq and is a predicted model, not a curated record. Lineage: Eukaryota; Viridiplantae; Streptophyta; Magnoliopsida; Poales; Poaceae.
GUUUGGUCGAGAUUUUUAUGAGGAGUGCUGCUAUUGCACUUUGUAAACACAGAGAGAAGUAAUAAAGUUGUCAUCUACUUUGAAAGUUCUUCGAUUUGUGCUUGCUUGGGUUCGGUGGACCAACCGGCGAGACACCACUGGUCAGACCGAUGGCAUCGGACCGGUCAGACCGAUGGAGUAACGGCGGUCAGACCGUCGGUGGCUACUAGCAACGGCGACUGAUCUCGGCAGUCAGACCAGAGCGACUACUGCGUUUAGACCGACGGCUUCCAGGUAGUUAGACCGAUGCAUCUACUCCAGUUAGACCACGUUUCAUCGAAUUGAGGGUAACUUUUAAUUCCGCUAAAAGUUUUGGUUUUUGAAUACUACAACCAUUCAUCCCCACUCUGGUUGAAUUAGUUCUUGCUGUUUGAUCCUACAAGAAAAACUAUGUUAUCUCUAUUAGUCCGGCCCUCCAUGCUCUUGAUGACCAACUACAUUCUAGUAUAUAUUUUCUUCAUUCUGCAACAUCUUGUCUCGAGCUCGGCCCCUAGCAUUCAUGGCUGUGACUAUCGACGUGGCAAGAAGGAUUACAACCGGCAAAGGCGCACGUGAGGCAAAAAGUUAAAAAAAAAGACUCGAUGCCGGCUCAAAUUGAGUCGAUGCUUCGAGUGGCUCCUCGUUGAAAAACAAAUUAAAUCAUCCACAUAUAAGAGCAGAAAGUGAAUAAAAGAUUUUGCACAAAUGCAUUGCCCAGAAUCAGCUUUUGCUCACUGCCGCUUCUGCUGUUCGUCCCAUCCCAUCCACUUUCUUGUGUUCUUGAGUCGCUUACAGAAGAUAGCCUUACCAGCGAGGUCAACCGUGUUUCGGUUUAGGUGAUAACCAAUGGAGAGGUUCGACCAUCCUGAUCGGAGCAUAUGGAUCAUCAAUGCCAAGUCUCCACAAUCGAUUUAUCGAGUACAUAACGGAAGAUUGAGACCCUAGUCCUCAUCAAGCAUUCACCUAUAGUUGCUAAAAGAUGCCAGUUCUGUAUUUUUCUAUCACGUGGAGGUGGGAAAAGAUCAAUAGGUGCCGGUUUCAAAUAAACGACACCUAUGAGCCGAGACCUAUGAGGGGUCACAUGUACUGUCCAAAGGAAAAUCAAAGGAAAGUUUCCCUAGCUAACAAAGGAAACAAUCUAUCCACUCCAAGCUCUUUUUCAUUUAGUUCGCAUGAGAUCGAGGCAAUCAAACGAUAAACAACAGCUUGUCAAACAAUAACCAUGGAAGCUAAGAAGAAGAAGCAAAAUAAAACAAAAACUGAAGAAGAAGAAGCAGCAGAAUUAUCUUGCGGUUGUUGACAAUUUUUGUAUUUAAACUCGUGCAUGGUGUGAAAUACAUAUUGUAAGACACGGACUGACAAGAAUAGUCAAAAGAAUUACAACUGUUACAUAGGAAAAAAGUUUUUCGUAGAUAAAAUGGUAAGAGGUCUCAGAUAAGAAGAAUAUGAUAUAUGCCACACACCUUCGUGGAUCUCCCACAUGCUGGGGGACAACACUCAUGAGGAGCACGGUUACCAUUUUGGUAUGAAAAUCAA